Molecule: ribosomal RNA, 425 nt
Filed under: uncultured bacterium
Lineage: Bacteria
Description: partial 16S ribosomal RNA
Rfam family: Bacterial small subunit ribosomal RNA
Source: RNAcentral
GUGGGGAAUCUUGCGCAAUGGGCGAAAGCCUGACGCAGCCAUGCCGCGUGGAUGAUGAAGGUCUUAGGAUUGUAAAAUCCUUUCACCGGUGAAGAUAAUGGCUGUAGCCGGAGAAGAAGCCCCGGCUAACUUCGUGCCAGCAGCCGCGGUAAUACGAAGGGGGCUAGCGUUGCUCGGAUUUACUGGGCGUAAAGGGCGCGUAGGCGGACAUUUAAGUCAGGGGUGAAAUCCCGGGGCUCAACCUCGGAACUGCCUUUGAUACUGGGUGUCUUGAGUAUGAGAGAGGUGUGUGGAACUCCGAGUGUAGAGGUGAAAUUCGUAGAUAUUCGGAAGAACACCAGUGGCGAAGGCGACACACUGGCUCAUUACUGACGCUGAGGCGCGAAAGCGUGGGGAGCAAACAGGAUUAGAAACCCGGGUAGUCC